AAAACAUUAUCAAACUUACUUAUAUUUUUUAUGCAUAGGUACACAAAAAUUAUGGUUGAGCAGUGGUGUUCAAAAAAAUAAACACUUAAAAGCGUCCGUAAAAAUAAAAUUCGCAUAUUUCGUAUAAUAAAAUGAAGAAAAUAAUACCACUAAUAAUAUGAGAUAUCUAAUUGGUUUUAGGUAAAAUGUCCGAAAAAAAAUAUCCGAACAGAAAAUGUCCGGUUUGUACACUGUAGCUAGAUAACAAGAAUUAACCCAAGUCAAUAGGAAUGGGUUUCACAUUAUGAUAAACCACAUGUUGUGAUUCUGUAUCAACACUCAAUAUUAAUAAAUAAUAAUACGGUUUAUUGUUUUACAUUAACAUCAUUCUCUAGUCGGUUGGUAUAUUUGUCGAUUUGUAAAAUUGCAUACAUACAAUGUAAAACGUAAAACGUUAAAGUUUUUUUUUCAACUUCACGAUUUCACGUAAUAUUUAUUUUGAAACUUUUGAAUCAUACAAUAACUAUUAAUAGUACUAUUCAUACUACUAAUACUAUUCAUGAAUUAACCUAAUCCAAUAUAAAUAAAUCUAAAUAAUGUUUAAACAGGUAUUCGUAUCCCAUUAAAUACAAAUUAAUCAACACACUACGUUAGCAAUACGUAAAGAAAAAUGUAUUGAAUUUUAAUUCCGCUUUGACUACGGAUUUGUCCAACAACAACUCAAAAUUAGUCAAAAAUCAUUUGCAUCCAGCUAAUAUUUUGAUCAGGAAAUUUUUGCUUCGAACAAGUAGAACCCCAAUAGUAUCAUACACUAGAUUUUUCGGUAAAUUAAUGAUUCCAGAGAAUAAAGU
This is a non-coding RNA of Cinara cedri, 830 nucleotides long. NCBI's taxonomy places the organism in Eukaryota, Metazoa, Arthropoda, Insecta, Hemiptera, Aphididae. The record is from the annotation of a GenBank genome assembly.